Molecule: small RNA, 2648 nt
Filed under: Pongo abelii (Sumatran orangutan)
Lineage: Eukaryota; Metazoa; Chordata; Mammalia; Primates; Hominidae
Description: retained intron
Source: RNAcentral
UCCGCCCCCUCACGCUCACCAGCCGCUUCCACCUCUGCCCACCCGCUCCACACUGACCGUAGUCCUGCCCUCCGCACUGGUCCUCUCCCCGCAACGACUUGCCCCACCUUUUCUCCUCGUCCGCUGACCCUUGCCCCAACCGAGGGUCCCGGGGUGCUCUGACUCGUCCUCUCCGCAGUGAGGUGCAGUACGUUGUGCUCCAGAACGUGGCCACCAUGUCCAUCAAGCGCCGGGGUAUGUUUGAGCCCUACCUGAAGAGCUUCUACAUCAGGUCUACCGACCCCACCCAGAUCAAGAUCCUGAAGCUGGAAGUGCUGACCAACCUGGCUAAUGAGACCAACAUUCCUACUGUCCUACGGGAAUUCCAGACCUAUAUUCGCAGCAUGGACAAGGACUUCGUGGCAGCCACAAUCCAGGCCAUUGGACGCUGUGCAACUAACAUCGGCCGAGUCCGUGACACCUGCCUCAAUGGCCUGGUGCAGCUGCUGUCCAACCGUGAUGAGCUUGUGGUUGCAGAGUCAGUGGUCGUCAUUAAGAAAUUGCUACAGAUGCAGCCAGCACAACAUGGAGAGAUCAUCAAACACUUGGCAAAGCUUACAGACAACAUCCAGGUGCCCAUGGCCCGAGCCAGCAUCCUGUGGCUCAUCGGAGAGUACUGUGAGCAUGUCCCCAGGAUUGCACCCGAUGUCUUAAGAAAAAUGGCCAAGUCAUUCACAGCAGAGGAGGAUAUUGUCAAGCUGCAGGUCAUCAACCUGGCAGCCAAGCUCUACCUGACCAACUCUAAACAGACCAAGCUGCUGACCCAGUAUGUGCUGAGUCUAGCCAAAUAUGACCAGAACUAUGAUAUUCGCGACCGGGCGCGCUUCACCCGGCAGCUCAUCGUCCCUUCCGAGCAGGGUGGGGCCCUCAGCCGCCAUGCCAAGAAGCUCUUCCUGGCACCCAAACCAGCUCCAGUCUUGGAGUCAUCCUUCAAAGACCGGGACCACUUCCAGCUGGGUUCACUGUCCCACCUGCUCAAUGCCAAGGCCACAGGCUACCAGGAGCUCCCAGACUGGCCGGAGGAAGCCCCAGACCCAUCUGUGCGCAACGUGGAGGUACCUGAAUGGACCAAGUGCUCAAAUCGGGAGAAGAGAAAGGAGAAGGAAAAACCCUUCUACUCAGACUCUGAGGGGGAGUCAGGCCCCACGGAGUCCGCAGACAGUGACCCUGAGUCUGAGAGUGAAUCGGACAGUAAGAGCAGCAGCGAGAGCGGCUCUGGGGAGUCCAGCAGUGAGUCCGACAAUGAAGACCAGGAUGAGGAUGAGGAGAAAGGGAGAGGCAGUGAGAGUGAACAGAGUGAGGAGGAUGAUAAGAGGAAGACAAAGAAGAAGGUGCCAGAGGGAAAAGGAGAAGCGUCAUCCUCUGAUGAGGGCAGCGAUUCCAGCAGUAGCUCAUCAGAGUCCGAGAUGACAUCGGAGUCCGAGGAGGAGCAGUUGGAACCUGCCUCUUGGAGGAGGAAAACACCUCCCAGCAGCAAAAGUGCCCCUGCAACCAAGGAGAUCUCCCUGCUUGAUCUAGAGGACUUCACCCCUCCCAGUGUCCAGCCUGUGUCUCCCCCAGCAAUUGUGUCUACCAGUCUGGCUGCUGACCUGGAGGGCCUGACACUCACAGACUCCACCCUGGUACCGUCGCUUCUGAGUCCAGUGUCGGGUAUUGGGCGGCAGGAGCUGCUGCACCGGGUAGCUGGCGAGGGGCUGGCUGUGGACUACACCUUCAGCCGCCAACCUUUCUCCGGGGACCCCCACAUGGUGUCUGUGCACAUCCACUUCUCCAACAGCUCUGAUACCCCCAUCAAGGGCCUGCAUGUGGGCACUCCCAAACUGCCUGCUGGCAUCAGCAUCCAAGAAUUUCCCGAAAUUGAGUCCCUGGCACCUGGAGAAUCUGCCACUGCUGUAAUGGGCAUUAAUUUCUGUGACUCAACCCAGGCAGCCAACUUCCAGCUGUGCACCCAGACCCGACAGUUCUACGUCUCCAUUCAGCCACCUGUUGGGGAGCUGAUGGCCCCUGUGUUUAUGAGUGAAAAUGAGUUUAAGAAGGAACAGGGAAAGCUGAUGGGCAUGAAUGAGAUCACAGAGAAACUCAUGCUGCCAGACACCUGUCGGAGUGACCACAUUGUGGUGCAGAAAGUGACUGCCACUGCCAACCUGGGUCGUGUUCCUUGUGGGACAUCCGAUGAGUACAGGUUUGCAGGGAGGACACUGACCGGUGGAAGCCUCGUUCUGCUGACCCUGGAUGCCCGGCCAGCUGGAGCUGCCCAGCUGACUGUCAACAGCGAGAAAAUGGUGAUUGGCACCAUGCUGGUAAAGGAUGUGAUACAGGCUCUGACCCAGUGACUUCCAAAUGCUGUGACCUCUUUGGCUCCCAUCUAUACCUCCCCAUGACAUCUGGGCUGUCAGUCCCUCUCAUCUUUCUCUCUCUCUCAUCCUCCUCCUCAUGCCAGAUAGCAUUCAGGGUGCCCUCUCUCCCUCUGGAGGACCAAGCCCUCCCCUAAUGCCCUCCCCAUGCAUUCCUUAGUGAUCUCUGCAGAGGGAGAUGGCAGCCACUCCCUUCAGUCCUCCCAGAUUUCUGUAGCUAUUUAUGUAGCAGGCUCAAUAAAAUGUCUUCUCUCU